This 320-nucleotide ribosomal RNA is filed under the name uncultured eukaryote. RNAcentral's name for it is "partial 18S ribosomal RNA". It matches the Rfam family "Eukaryotic small subunit ribosomal RNA", at positions 1470 to 1796 of the family's 1831-position model. The record is from RNAcentral.
CCCCUAGAUGUUCUGGGCCGCACGCGCGCUACACUGAACAGUUCAACAAGUCUUAACCUUGGCCGAUAGGUCUGGGUAAUCUUUGAACGCUGUUCGUGAUUGGGAUAGACCUUUGCAAUUAUGGGUCUUCAACGAGGAAUUCCUAGUAAACGCAAGUCAUCAGCUUGCAUUGAUUACGUCCCUGCCCUUUGUUCACACCGCCCGUCGCACCUACCGAUUGAAUGGUCCGGUGAAAUCUCGGGACGGCGGCUUGGUCGCUUGCGUCCGACUGCUGAAACUUGAUUAAACCAUAUCAUUUAGAGGAAGGUGAAGUCGUAACA